GUUAACCUGUGUGGAUGGUGUUCAGCACCAAGGACAGGUAUGUGUGUGGAUGGUGUUCAGCAACAGGGACAGGCGUGUUUGUGU
Molecule: microRNA precursor, 84 nt
Filed under: Branchiostoma floridae (Florida lancelet)
Lineage: Eukaryota; Metazoa; Chordata; Leptocardii; Amphioxiformes; Branchiostomatidae
Description: mir-2060 microRNA precursor family
Rfam family: mir-2060 microRNA precursor family
Source: Rfam by way of RNAcentral